GAUGAACGCUGGCGGCGUGCUUAACACAUGCAAGUCGAACGAAGCAUUUGCGACAGAUUUUUUCGGAAUGAAGUUGCUUAUGACUGAGUGGCGGACGGGUGAGUAACGCGUGGGUAACCUGCCUUGUACUGGGGGAUAGCAGCUGGAAACGGCCGGUAAUACCGCAUAAGCGCACAAUGUUGCAUGACAUGGUGUGAAAAACUCCGGUGGUAUAAGAUGGACCCGCGUCUGAUUAGCUAGUUGGUGAGAUAACAGCCCACCAAGGCGACGAUCAGUAGCCGAGAUGAGAGGGUGACCCGCCACAUUGGGACUGAGACACGGCCCAGACUCCUACGGGAGGCAGGAGUGGGGAAUAUUGCACAAUGGAGGAAACUCUGAUGCAGCGACGCCGCGUGAGUGAAGAAGUAAUUCGUUAUGUAAAGCUCUAUCAGCAGGGAAGAUAGUGACGGUACCUGACUAAGAAGCCCCGGCUAACUACGUG
Molecule: ribosomal RNA, 481 nt
Filed under: uncultured bacterium
Lineage: Bacteria
Description: partial 16S ribosomal RNA
Rfam family: Bacterial small subunit ribosomal RNA
Source: RNAcentral